Drosophila pseudoobscura pseudoobscura is the source of this 45-nucleotide non-coding RNA. NCBI's taxonomy places the organism in Eukaryota, Metazoa, Arthropoda, Insecta, Diptera, Drosophilidae. The record is from Rfam.
AAAAAGGCCCUUUUCAGGGCCACAAAAUGUUCUUCCAAAGAAAUU